Small nuclear RNA from Cornus florida, 161 nucleotides. RefSeq annotates it as U1 spliceosomal RNA. The record is from RefSeq and is a predicted model, not a curated record. NCBI's taxonomy places the organism in Eukaryota, Viridiplantae, Streptophyta, Magnoliopsida, Cornales, Cornaceae. The transcript has a single exon.
UUACUUACCUGGACGGGAUCUAUUGGUGAUCAAUGAGGCCCAUGGUCUAGGUUGGUGACUUCCAUUGCACUCAGGAGGGGUGCCUGCCUAAGGACUACUCAAGUAGUAGAGCUUACGUCAUAAUUUGUGGUAGCGGGGGCCUGCAUUCUUGCGGCCCUUGC